This is a non-coding RNA of Poeciliopsis prolifica (blackstripe livebearer), 447 nucleotides long. Lineage: Eukaryota; Metazoa; Chordata; Actinopteri; Cyprinodontiformes; Poeciliidae. The record is from the annotation of a RefSeq genome assembly.
AUGAUGUUCAUACUGUCUGUUCUACUGGCAGUGAUCUGUCUGCCGUGUUCUAACAGCCAGUCCAUGGAGUCCAUUCCUUCCACCUCGGUGGUGAAAAGGCCUCAGGAAAUUCUGAGUCUGUCCUGCAGAGGAUCUGGAUUUGAUUUCAGUCAGUAUGCAAUUUUCUGGAUCAGACAACCAGCAGGAAAAACACUGGAGUGGAUGGGUGGUAUUUCUGACGAUGGAGCAAGAACAGCUUACUCAAACAGUGUUGAUGGACGUAUAGAAAUCACCAGAGAAAACAGCAACAGCAUAGUGCAUCUAAAACUGUCUAACCUGAAGCCAGAGGACUCUGCCGUGUAUUACUGUGCCAGAGACGCACAGUGGUUAAUGUACCUGCAGAGGCUGUACAAAAACUCUUCACUCCUGGAGCACACUAUGAACACAGAAGCGACUAGCAGUUUGUGA